CUGUCUCCAUGGCAAUGGCGACCUGGCCAGACCUGAGGUCCACUCGGGUCCUAGUCCUGCACUCUGGGGUUAGGGGAACCCAGAGCCAGGUGUAUGGGGACAUCAGCCCCCCAAUUUGAGGACAGGGCCGGAGCAGAAGGGGCUGGAGAGGCCUUGUGCUAGACUCUGGGGAUAUGGAAAUGAGCAAAGUAGAUGUACCCCCGAAACUUGUGGACUAAUGGAGGAGACGGACCUUAAUCAGAUCGUCAUUCAAAGAUACUAUUACAAACUGUUCUGAGAGCCGAGGAAGCAGGAAGGAGCUGUGAGAGACUGAGCUCUAACCUUGGCCAUCAAAGACAAGCUGUGCAGCUCUGGUUUUUUGAGGGCAGGACAUGGAGGGUCAGGCCCAGCUGGAGGCGCACCAAAGCCCAGAGAAAAUUCAGAACCACGUGAACUUGUUGGAUUUCAGCCCCUUGAAGCACAUGUUGCUAUUGCAGCUGCCUUGAUAACUGGGGGGACAGGAGGAGCACGGCUUUCCCAUCUUGUACGGGGACUCGCCAAUCCAGUUGCCCCUGGAAGAGAAAAGGACCCAGGGAGACAGAGGAGCAUUAGGCUACUAAUGACUUCAAGAACAUCAGAAUAAUACAAUAGAAAGAAUUUGGAAUUUGGAAUCAAAAGACUGAUUCUUCUGAACCAGCUCUACUACUUGUUGGCUUUGUGACAUUUGGUAAAUUACUCAACCUGCCUGAGCCUCAAUUUCUUAAUUUGUAAAAAGAAUGUCCUCCUAGGGUUCCCCCCUUUUUCCUUCUUUCUUUCAUCUCUUCAAUGAGAUAGUGUGAAAGUAGUUUGUAAAUGAUUAAAGGCUAUGUGACAGUAAAAUGUGGUUAUUAUAUAAUUUUGGAAUUCUAGGGCAGGCACGGUGGGUGGCUCACACCUAUAAUCCCAGCACUUUGGGAGUCCAAGUAGGGAGAUUGCUUGAGG
Molecule: long non-coding RNA, 960 nt
Filed under: Homo sapiens (human)
Lineage: Eukaryota; Metazoa; Chordata; Mammalia; Primates; Hominidae
Description: HSALNT0401188
Source: RNAcentral